This 460-nucleotide ribosomal RNA is filed under the name uncultured bacterium. RNAcentral's name for it is "partial 16S ribosomal RNA". It matches the Rfam family "Bacterial small subunit ribosomal RNA", at positions 338 to 795 of the family's 1533-position model. The record is from RNAcentral.
CCUACGGGUGGCAGCAGUGAGGAAUAUUGGUCAAUGGACGAGAGUCUGAACCAGCCAAGUAGCGUGAAGGAUGACUGCCCUAUGGGUUGUAAACUUCUUUUAUAUGGGAAUAAAAUGUUACACGUGUGGGAUUUUGUAUGUACCAUAUGAAUAAGGAUCGGCUAACUCCGUGCCAGCAGCCGCGGUAAUACGGAGGAUCCGAGCGUUAUCCGGAUUUAUUGGGUUUAAAGGGAGCGUAGGUGGAUUGUUAAGUCAGUUGUGAAAGUUUGCGGCUCAACCGUAAAAUUGCAGUUGAAACUGGCAGUCUUGAGUACAGUAGAGGUGGGCGGAAUUCGUGGUGUAGCGGUGAAAUGCUUAGAUAUCACGAAGAACUCCGAUUGCGAAGGCAGUUCACUGGACUGCAACUGACACUGAGGCUCGAAAGUGUGGGUAUCAAACAGGAUUAGAUACCCGUGUAGUC